CCCGUAGGCGGUGACGCAAGUGUUUCGUGAAAGCCCUCGGCUCAACCGAGGAUGUGCGAGGCAUACUGCGUGACUGGAGUGCUGGAGGGGGAGGCGGAAUUCCUGGUGGAGCGGUGAAAUGCGUAGAGAUCAGGAAGAACGUCAGUGGCGAAGGCGGCCUCCUGGACAGACACUGACGCUGAUGGGCGAGAGCGUGGGGAGCGAACG
RNAcentral lists this ribosomal RNA (207 nucleotides) under uncultured bacterium. Its description in RNAcentral is "partial 16S ribosomal RNA". It matches the Rfam family "Bacterial small subunit ribosomal RNA", at positions 568 to 774 of the family's 1533-position model. The record is from RNAcentral.